UCUGAGUCCCAGGACCCAAAAUUACUUAGCAGACAUCAGCUCAUUGCCCAGAGAGAUGGUUAUUUUGAAGAUUGCAAACUUCCUCCUGCCCAGUCCAAGUUGAAGUUCCGGGGGGAGGAAAAACGUUCCAGGCCGGCAGCUGUGCGCUGUACUGGACAACAAGCACCGCCUUUGUGGAGAGCCUCGUGGGAUGAUACCCAGGCAGAAGGUUAGAGAAAUGGGUCUCCAGCGGUUCCCUUUACUGGGAGGAAAGAGAUGGGGCCACACCUUCUUCGAAGAAGGCUUCGUUUCAUUCCCGCAGAUAUGAAAAACUAUGCUCAUGGUCCCCUCAACUUUUUGAAGAACAAGAUGGGCCCACAGCCAAUCCCCUAAACCCUCAAGUGAGCAGACAUCAAGUAGGGAAGACAGAUGGAAGACAGGCAGACUGUAGCAAGCUGCUCCUCCUGAAAAUUGACACCCUAGAGGGACAUUGGGGAUCACUCUCCACAUGGCCCCAGAAUGCAGCAUCUAGAAGGGCAGGAGAGCCCCUCCCCACAAGAGGCCUUUUGUGUGCCUGUCAGGCUGGGUUGUAUUUUUAGACUUAGCUAGGCCUGCUCUGGAUUUCCCCUCACACAGCUGCUGCCGCUGCUUUCCAAAGCCCAGCCUAGGAAGCCGGGCUUCCCUAAGCCUUUGUUUGCCUGAAGAACGGAAGAUAAUGUUUGACAGGGGAGGGAGAGUUAUGGGAGCCUGCAGAAUUCUUUCCUCAACUCCCAGACAAGAGGGUAAGUCUUGUCACCCUAUCCAGCAGCAUCUUGUCACAUACACACACACACACACACACACACACACCACCAGUCCAGCCUAGGACCUCCAGCCCAUAUUUGAUCAGGACCAGCUGCCUCAUGGCAUGGAUUGAGCCCAGUACAUCUUUCGGAGUGAGAGAAAAUUUUACUCCAUGAGAAGGAAGCUCAGACCCAAGAACCAUAUUCAAAGCCACCUCUCUCAGCCACUCUGGUAAACAGGCUCUUCCUGCGUAUUCUGUUUUAAAGCAUUUAAUUAUUCCUCCAUCUAUAAAUAAAUAAAUACUCGCUUGCUGUAGCAUUUUCUUUCAAUUUGCUACUGUAGACAAAUCAAGACAUGAUUUAUUCUUCUGAUGUUGGCAGUCUUAAACCUCCCUCAUUUGUUUUUUUAAUAUAUAUUUUUUUAUUUUAUGUGAGUACACUUUUAUACUGUUACUGUCUUCAGAAACACCAGAAGAGGGCACCAGAUCAUAUUACAGAUGGUUUUGAGCCAUUAUGUGGUUGCUGGGAAUUGAACUCAGGACCUCUGGAAGAGCAGUCAGUGCUCUUAACUGCUGAGCCAUCUCUCCAGCCAUCACCACCCUCCCAUUUGCAUUUUAAAACCUUCCCAACACCAGAAGUUACCUGUAGGGACUAAGGGGUGAACAUGUUUUUUUGUUUUUGUUUUACUUUCUACUUUUUUUUCCCUACUGUUUUAUCUUUAUUCAAACAAUGAGCUGUUACUGUUUGGCAAUGGGAGUAUUUUUAAGGUACAGUGCAGACAGCCAGUGGGUGGGAAACGAGGCAUUUCUUGGUGUUGGGAUUUUUAGAUCCUGGCUUUGAUAGGAUGGUGGGCCUGACUAGUAUAGCAGUGAGAUGUUGUAAGAGAGGUGGGAAAGAUGGAUGGAGAGGGAGAGAAAUGCUGUUGGUUCAAGGCAGGACCUGUGGUUAGGAAAACCUAGCCCUGCAGUACCAGAAUGUAUGCCAAAGACAAUGGGAUCCAUGAGAUUGAAGGACAUGCUACACAAAGCACAGUCUACUGGAUCUUAUGGGCAGAAGCAUGUCCUAGACAGAAGCAACAUAUCAAGAUCCCUGCACUGCAGAGCAAGAGAAAGCAUUCCUAUCUAAACCUAUGGUCAUUGGAGUGUUAGCCAGGCUUCCUCAAAAGCUGCAAGCAUGCCCAAAUUCGGUAUAAGAGCAGUCCGGCCAGCCAUGCAAGCUCAAAUGACUGUCUUAUCAUAUGAUAAGAUGUAUAUGAUAUCUUAGUGAUACCAUAUACAAUUUGGGAUGGGGUGCCAAGUCAUUUGUUGGGCAAAAUGACACUGAGGACCAAGAUGGCUGUCAUUAUGUCAAAUGGGAUCCCUAUAGCAAUGAGACCUGAUAUAGCUUAAGUCUCUGGAUGGAGGGGAAUCUUCAGGAUAUACUGAGAACAAUGGAGGAAGAGCAGGCAAGGGAGGACUCAGGUGCCGGUGGGACUCCAUGUGAGGCAGGGAGUGAGGCCAGUGGCUGAAGGUGUGGAAGAAGGAGUUGUGUGACCAGUUAAAGCAGGCAUUCUUCAUCUGGCUAGAACUCAGGGGUCUGUGAACUUGAGUGGGAGAAACAUCCUAUUUUUAUUUCUACAUUCCCCCACUACAGCCUAUUAGAUACUUCCAUGAUUAAUGUCAGAAAAUUCAUAUAGGAUAGUAAUAUCAAUAUUUAUGACCUCAGCAUUCAUAACAAUCACAGAUUUUUGUAUCCUAUUUUCAUAUCACAUGUCAGUUGUGGCAAAUGUCUCUAAGUAUCAUUUCUGUUCAUCAUUAAUUUAAAAUGCUCGUAAUUGGACCUGAUAAUGGAUCGUGUUUUGUACAACAUGGGUAUAUUUGCAUGCAUUAGCAUAUCAAAAUGACUAUAAUUUUGAAAGCCGUAUGUCCAUUAAAUAGUAAUUUUGCAAUCCUUUAUUUAUUAUUAUAUAUGUUAAGAAGUAUUCUGAGAGGCAAGUCAAAACAUUAGAAAGGGGACUGGAGGUAUGGCUCAGGGAUUAAGAGCACUGACUGCAAAUACAGCUAGUGUUGUUGUUGUUGUUGUUGUUUGUUUUUGUUUUUUAAUAUAUUGUAACCCCAGCACUCAGAAGGCUGAGGCAGGAGAUGAGUUCAAGAUUAGCCUGGGCUAUCUCAAAACAAUAAAAGAAGAAAGAAGAGGAAGAAGGAGGAGGAGGAGGAGGACGGCGACGACUAUGAUGAUGAUGAUGAGAAGCAGCAGCUAGGUGUGAUGGUACACACCUUUAAUCCCAGCCUAGGGUGGCCGGCAGAUCAUUGUAAAUUCAAGGCCAGCAUGGUCUGAACAGGCCUUGCCCCAUUUCUGGUCAGUCUGGGCAUUCAGGCCUGUGAGGCCACCACGCAGUCACAGAGGAAGACCUGUUGAAGCAGAGAAUACAGAGCUGAACAAACGGAAGCCAAGGUCAAAGCAAAUGUUUACUUAAAAUGAGGAAGGAUAUCAUCACAGAUUAUAGAUGUUUAAGAAGAUAAAUUCCACAGACCUUAUGAAGACCACAACAUAAGAUUUACUUAAUGGACACAUUUCUGUAGCCCCUUCCUUUCCCUCCAUUCUUGGCUGUGUAUUUUGAUCCUUUCGAAAUGUCAAUUUUUUUAAAAAAUUCCUAACGUAACGACCAGAUGGAUAAGACAAUAUUUCUUCUAAUCCGGCUGACUGGCAUUUCUUGUGUUGGUGGUUGGGCUGUGGUGAAUGCGCAUGCAACUUCGCAUGCAAACUUUUCUGUUUUUUUUUUUAGACAAAGCUGAACAGUGGCUUGUAUAUUGAAGUGUCAGUUUUAUAUUUGUUGUUAAUUUUCUAGUCAUAUCUUUGCCUGUUUCUCUAGAAAACUUUUGGCAUUUACCCUAUCAAAUUUAAAGCUAUUUGAUAAGCUGGGUGUGGUGGUACACAACCUUCAUUUGAUCACUCAAGAGCCUGAAGGAGGAUUUUUUUUUUUAAGGGGGGUGGGUGUGUCCUGGAGAGAUGGCUCAGCUUUGAGUACUGCAGGGGCAGAGGACCACAGUGUGGUUCCUAGCACCACCCAUAGGAGGCAGCUCGUAAUCUCCUGCAACCCCAGCUCCAGGGUGCUGCAGUCAGGUGUAUACACACACACACACACACACACACACACACACACACACACACACGAGCACUUUCUUACACACACCCACUUAAAUCUUUUUUUAAAAGACAGACUUUUUGUACAGUAGGAAUGUUAGUGCUUUCUCUUCUCUCUCCCCAUCCAUUUGGUUUUGUAUGUGUAUAAGUAUACUCGUCCAGGCCGGGCGUGGUGGCACACGCCUUUAAUCCCAGCACUCGGGAGGCAGAGGCAGGCGGAUUUCUGAGUUCGAGGCCAGGUCUACAAAAUGAGUUCCAGGACAGCCAGAGAUAUACAGAGAAACCUUGUCUCAAAAAAAAAAAAAAGUAUACUCAUCCAUGCAUGCAGGCACUAGCAGAGGCCAUUCAAGGACACUGGGUGACUUCCUCUACUGCUCUUGCCUUGUCACCCAGAAGCAGUCUCUCAGAAGAGGAAGCCUGUGGCUGGAGUGGCCUGCCUGUGAGCUCCUGGGAUCAGCUUGUCUCUGCCCUUAAUGCUAGGCCUGUAGGCAGGCACAGCCAUACUGGGCUGUUUGCUGGGUGCUAGGAUUUGAACUCAUGUUUGCAGAACAAACCCUUUUACAUUCUGAGCAUCGUGCCACGCCUCCAUUUUGGUCUUUUUUUUCUUCUUCUUCUAUAAUACAGGUUGUAAAUAUGUCCUCGUAUGCUGAUAUACAUCCUUUGACUUUGUUCAUGGAGGUUUUGCUCUGCAAAAGAUUAAACAAUAUUAAAGCGAAUAAAUGUAACAAUAUUUUA
Mus musculus (house mouse) is the source of this 4619-nucleotide long non-coding RNA. RefSeq annotates it as predicted gene, 53726. NCBI's taxonomy places the organism in Eukaryota, Metazoa, Chordata, Mammalia, Rodentia, Muridae. The transcript is spliced from 2 exons. The record is from RefSeq and is a predicted model, not a curated record.